RNAcentral lists this long non-coding RNA (236 nucleotides) under Capsicum annuum. RNAcentral describes it as "long non-coding RNA (CANN_LNC007153)". Lineage: Eukaryota; Viridiplantae; Streptophyta; Magnoliopsida; Solanales; Solanaceae. The record is from RNAcentral.
CCUGAGGUAAUCUGGUGCGCCUAGCUUGGCAUUGUUGGCCUAUCUAAAUCUCUCUUCUCUUCGGAGCCAUGUUCUGCAUAUAUUUCCACCUUAUUGACUGGCCCCUGAACUUUAACAGCUUAUGGAGAGGGAGGAAUUAUAAUUUCUUUUGAUUUUCGAUCAGAGAGUACGUCUCUAAUUGGUCUUUUCUUUCUCCUAACCAACACUGUAGGAAUGUAUGACUCCCUCACCUUCUU